AAUAUUGAGCUUCAACAUAUUUAAAAAUAUAAGAAAUUACAGACAACUAAAAAUAAGCUAAUUGAUCUACGAAAAUGAAAAAUACACCAAAUGCAUUCACAUAUAGAGAGGUGAUGUCAUGACAUUGGCUUCCAACAAGUAUUUAUAACUACCGAGUGGAAGCAACGGUCUAGAUAAGAUGUAAAUUAAUGAGAGUAGAGGGUGGAGAUUCAGACAUGUCAUCAAUACCAAACAAGAACACGUCACGUUAAUUUAACAAACUCUGUAGAGGAUAGAAGGGAUUAAUGGAUAAUUGGUAUCUUUCUCAUUUAUUCUCUCAGAUUUGUCCUUUCUUCUUCUUCCUUCCUAAUAUCAUUCAUUCUUCUUCUGCAAAUUAAGGACUCAUCUAUUGAAAUUUCCACACUUCAGAUUCAUUUUCCAUUGUAUCAAGUUGUAAUUCCUUAUGUUCAGUUGAUUAAUAGAAUAUUGUGCAAAAACUUCUACUUUUCUAUUAAAGUUCGGUUUGAUAAUUAUUGAAUUGAGGUCAGGUUUUAAUAAUUGGUAUUAGAGCAACGGUGCGCUCAGUUCGUGAAGGUGAAAACGGCUGAACGGACCGGGAUGAAUAUUCUAGAGGAUAAGUUGCAGCGUCAUGAUGAAAUUUUUGGAGAUCUCACUAUGAAUUGCAGAGAAAUCAAUGAAACUCAAUCUAGAAUCAGGGGAACCUUGGAACUUAUUUUGGAUCAUUUGACAACUAUAAAGAUCACAAGUAAGAGCUCUUGAAUGUGCUUUUACGGUGAGAGAUGGGACGCUACCAAAUCCCAUACAGGAAGAUAGGGCCAUAUUGGCAAUUCGAACUCCUAAAUGGGAACUACCAUGAUUCAAAGGGAACAAACAUAAGCAGAGUACUUAGGACAUGUUAUUAAUGCGGAAGGGUUGUCAACUAAGCCUGCCAAGGUGAAGGCUAUGGAAGAAUGGCCUACCUUUAGAACAGUUAAAGCUUUGAGGGGAUUUCUGGGCUUAACAUGAUAUUAUAGAAUGUAUGUACGUAAUUAUGGAAGCAUAAGCAGACCACUAUCCGACUUGUUGAAGAAGGAUACUUUUGUGUGGACUAAGGAAGUUGAUCAAUUUUUAGCGGCACUUAAAAGGGCCAUGUCUACCACAACAAUGCUUGCGUUGCUAAAUUAUGAUGAAGAAUUUGUAUUAGAGACUGAUGCAUGUCAUUCAGGAAUUGGAGCAAUGCUAUUACAAAGUGGAAGGCCAAAAGCCUAUUCUAGUGAGGUAUUGGCUAUGAAACAUACACAUAAAUCCAUCUACGAGAAAGAAUAUUUAGCUCUAUUGAAUGCAAUAGACAAGUGGAGACAUUACCUUCAAUACAAGCAUUGUGUGGUCAAGACUGACCAUUAUAGAUUGAAAUAUUUGUUUGAACAGGAGGUUACUACACUAGAGUAACAAAGAGGUCUGACCAAAUUGUUAAAGUUAGAUUAUGAGGUGCAACAUAAGAAAGGAGCAGAGAAUGGAGUGGUUCAUGCACUCUCAAGGCUUUUUGAUGGGGUUAGCUUAAGUGAAGUUGAUACAAUGUCUAACCUACUAGAAGAAAACCACUUGUGUGAAGAAGUCCAGUUAGAUGCUAUCAGUGUAGCAGUUCAAUUUUGGUUCCAAGAUGUUGCAGCUAGCUAUGAAGAAUAUCUUAUGAUUGUAUAGCUCAUUACACAAUUGACAGUAGAUAGUAAUCGUCCUAACUUGUGGCAAUUUUACUUAGGAGUAUUGGGAAUGGAGGGGAAGAUUUAUGUGGGCUCGAAAGGACCUAUUCGGCAUUAGUUGAUCGAGACCUUAGCUUCUAACUUAGGGGGCACUCAAUCCAACUUGGAAAUUUCAAAAGAUUAUCUCUAUUAAUUUAUUGGCCUUCAAUGAAACAAAUCGUGGUGCAGUUUGUAUCUGAAUGUUAGGUUUUUCAUAUAAACAAGGAUGAGAAUGUUUCAUAUCAAGGUUUUUUGCGACCCUUGCCCAUUACUAUACAGUCAUGGAAACCCAUAAGUUUGGAUUUUAUUGAAGGUUUGCCUAAAUCCUCAAGCAAAUAUUUUAUUUAUCUAGUGGUUGAUAGGCUCGCUAAAGAUGAUCAUUUUAUAGCUCUAUCCCACCAUUUCACAUCUCUGCAAGUGGCAACUAAAUUGUGGAAGUGAGUACACAGUCUUCAUGGUUGAACUGAGUCCAUUAUCUCUAAUCGAGAUAGGACAUUUCUCAGUAUAUUCUGGCAAGCUCUUUUCGAAUUGAAUGAAAUUCACCUUUUAUAUAGUUCUUCAUAUCAUCCUCAAAUAGAUGGGCAAAUAGAGAGGGUUAAUCGGUGUAUAGAAAAAUUACUUGAGGUGCAUGACUAGUACCUCAUAAGUGGAAGCAGCGGUUACCCCUAGAUGAGAGGUGGUACAACACCAACUACCACACAUACUUGAAAUGCGUCUCUUUUGAAGCUCAGUAUGGGUACUCACCUCCUCAACUAUUGAUGGGACCAAUGAUGGAUGUUGUGGUGCAUGCUGAUGAAUAUUUGAUCACAAAAAGGCAACAUGUGCAACAAAUUCUUAAAGACAAUUUGCUGAAAGCUCAAGAGAGAAUGAAAAACUAAGUUAAUCUAUAUAGGACCAAAGGGAGUUUCAACAUGGUGCAAUGGUAUACCUCAAGCUCCAACCGUAUAGACAUUCCUUCAUUGCUCUACGAAGAAAUUUGAAGCUCAGCUGCAAAUACUAUAGCUCGUACCAGAUUCUAGAAUGUAUUGGACCUGUAUGAUAUAUCUUCCACCUACUUCUAAAGUGCAUCCAGUGUUCCAUGUAUCGGUUCUCAAAAAGAACAUAGGGGCUAGAGAGGUGGUACAAUCCAUUCUACCAAUAACUGGGCAGGAUGGUCAGUUUUUGGUUCAACCAGUGGCUGUUCUUCAGCGGCAAAUGGUGAAGCCGAACAAUCGAGCCAAUAUGAAAUUGCUUAUACAGUGGUCGAAUGUACCACCAUAAGAUACUAGAUAGGAAGAUUAUUAUUUCAACUAGGCCAAGUUUCAUGCUUUUAUUAUUAACCCUCGGGACAAAGAUGAUUUGCAUGUGAGGGAAUUGUCAUGACCUUGGCUUCAAACAUGUAGUUAUAACUACUUGGUAGAAGAAACGGUCCAAAUUAGAUGUACAUUAAUGAGAUUAGAGAGUGAAGAUACAGCCACGUCGUCACUGCUAAACCAGCACAUGUCACGUUGAUAUAACCAACUCUCAAGAGGAAACAGGGGAUUGACCGAUAAGUGGUAUCUUUCCCACUUGUUCUCUCUUCUCUGAGAUCUCUCCUUUCUCCUUAUUACAUCCUAAUCUCACUCAUUCUUGUUUUUCAAAUUAAGGACUAACCAAUGGAAAUUUCAAAACUUUAAAUUCA
Solanum pennellii is the source of this 3378-nucleotide long non-coding RNA. RefSeq lists it as uncharacterized. The transcript is spliced from 2 exons. NCBI's taxonomy places the organism in Eukaryota, Viridiplantae, Streptophyta, Magnoliopsida, Solanales, Solanaceae. The record is from RefSeq and is a predicted model, not a curated record.